AUUAGUUUACUAUUAGGGCAUGUUUGGCUCAUGACUGAAAUAAGAGUGAAAAAUAAAAUUAGAUUUAUUAGAAUGAAAAAUAGAAUGGCAAAUUAUCAAAAAAAUUUAGUUCAUUAUUAAAAUGAAAAUCAUAAUGAACAUUUAGGAUUUUAAAAGAGAUAACAGUACUAAAAAGUAAAAACAGAGGAGGGAGAAGUAUUUGUGAGCGAUGAUUUUGAGUAAUUUACUUUUAAAUGGGUCAAUCUGAAAUUUAAAGCUGAAUUGAACUAUAAUUGUAUUAGAUCAUUUAUAUUUUAGAGUGAAAUGAAAAUCGAAAAUUGAUUCCCACAAAACAAAUAACAACUAUCAAAAUCAAUAAAUCUUAUUUUGAUUUCAUAGUCUAAAAUAGAUAAACAGUUUCUAAAAAAUCUGAAAAUCUUUUAUCGCUUAGUUUAUUUUAUUUAGAAAUUAAAAAAAAAAUUAGCUAGAAAUGUGAAUCAAUUAAGAUUCGAACUUAAAAUCUCGGAUACCAACCACUAAACCUUUUGUCACUUACUCUAGAGACGGCCGGUGAAAAAAAAAAAAAAAAAUCUGAAGAUCAAAUCUAGUAAG
Molecule: long non-coding RNA, 591 nt
Filed under: Ananas comosus (pineapple)
Lineage: Eukaryota; Viridiplantae; Streptophyta; Magnoliopsida; Poales; Bromeliaceae
Description: long non-coding RNA (ACOM_LNC006589)
Source: RNAcentral